RNAcentral lists this long non-coding RNA (1002 nucleotides) under Pongo abelii (Sumatran orangutan). Its description in RNAcentral is "lincRNA". The record is from RNAcentral. Lineage: Eukaryota; Metazoa; Chordata; Mammalia; Primates; Hominidae.
GAUGGCCACCUCCUGGUGGUAAGUCUCGCUCCUGGAGUUCCCAUCUUGGCCCUACAGCGGGACAUUUUGCCGCCACCUCUUUGUGUGUUGGGAAGAUGACGUCCUUUCUGCUCGUCCUGCUUCUCUGAUUGAUCUGUGUCUCUGGAGAUCCCUUUGCUUAGCCGUCAGAUCAAGCAGGCACCCAUGGUUCAUAAUGCAGGUGAUGACCUGGGCAAGAGGUCACCAGUAAGGAGCAAAGGGACCUGCCUGCCACUCUUAAGUAGAGCACCUGCUGAAUCAGGAUUUCCAAGGCUCUGGCUGAGUGCCUGGCUGGGGCUGUGUGUGCAGAUGCCACAAGAUGGACAAGACUGAGGAUGCAGAUGAGGAAACUGAAGCAACUGUUCAAGAAGAGGAUAUCAAAAGGGACAGGCAUUGAUGAUGAUAUCAGAGCUUCUUCCUGGGGAAUCUCAGCCUCACAUGAUGGAGUAUGACAAAAGGAAAAAAAUAAGGCUCUCCACGUACUUUCUUGGCAGUCUAUGAGGGUCAGGGUUGAUUUUGUGUCCCUAAAAUGUUGCAUGAAGUUCAUAGGCACUUCCAAAGGGGCAGUCUAGCAAGUAAAAGAGAUGUGGAGCUGUGGAAUCUAUUGUUUGAGUAAUCUUUUUCAAACAGUAGGAAUAUACCAGCUGGUAAAGAUUUGCCCACUUAGCUUCAAGUCUCUCUGAACACAUUUCCCCCCACUCUAUGAAUAGAUGAAGACAUACAAAUGGAACUCUUUUGAUAUUCUUAAGUGAAAAACAUGAUAUGGAAUAGCAGAUAAAUACAAACAAUUUCUUAUCAAGCAAAGAGCUCCAGAAAUAUUUUGACUUCAUUUAAAACAGUUAUAUAAAUAUUUUCUGGUGGAAUUUUUUUCUAAGCCAAAUACCCUGAAGGAUUUUAGUUGUCUAUCUACAACUUUUUGCUUGUGGAAAAUGUUGACUUCCUGGUUACUUUGACUUGUUGUGUUCACCUGAAAGUUUGCUUUUG